Molecule: long non-coding RNA, 657 nt
Organism: Spea bombifrons (plains spadefoot toad)
Lineage: Eukaryota; Metazoa; Chordata; Amphibia; Anura; Pelobatidae
Exons: 2
Source: RefSeq, a predicted model, not a curated record
GGUUCAUGUGCAUUCAACAAUAUUUUUCUAUAUGAAAAUAUUCAAAACUGUAACCUGUCACCAUGACAUUACAUUUUUUUCCAUCCCUUCUCUUAGUAGACUGAGUUUAUAUUUUGUAUUACCUGUAUUGCUGCAGUUAUUUGAGGUAGAAACUAUUAAUAUAGGCAACGUUUUUCACCCUGUAUGUUAUCUGGCCCAAGAGAAAAUGGAGAUACCUUUUAUUGGGCCGACAUAGUUCUCUCCUCUCCAUCUGAAGAAGAAACCUCUGAGGUCUCAAGAGCCCAAUAAAAAGAAUUACCAUCCACUAAUGACUCCCUUUGGCUGAUGGCAAGAAGCAUACACAAAAACACAAUUACACAAUGAUAUGUAUAAGGGAAGGCUUGGGACAUUUACAGGGUAGUUACCCGACACGUCUAUAGACUACAGGCCAGUCUUUGAGUAUCUAAAACUGCAUUAACUAUAAGCGAGCUGCAUUUAGAAUUUAUAGGUGACUGGUGGCAUCUUUAUGGCAGGGCAAAAGGCGUAGCGGGUCAUCUGCAUGAUAAGCUUGUGCGUUCUUUCUAAUUACUCAAUUAUUGAUCUAAGAUGGACAGAGUAGAUGAGAAGGCAUUUUUAGAGAAAGGAAAAGGGGGACUAGAACUGAGGAAAACGAAGAAA